Molecule: unclassified non-coding RNA, 401 nt
Filed under: Athalia rosae (coleseed sawfly)
Lineage: Eukaryota; Metazoa; Arthropoda; Insecta; Hymenoptera; Athaliidae
Description: misc RNA ENSAEAG00005001961.1
Source: RNAcentral
GAAAAUAGGAAAAGAGACCGCAACAACAGCAGUAAGGAGGACUCAAUCAACAAUCCUAAUAAAAUUGCUAAGGAGCGCUCUCUCCAACAGGCCAAGCAAGCUCCCGAGGACUCUAGUAAUUCUAUCCCACAAAACAACUCCACGCCUAGUCGAUCCUCUGUUACUGUCUUGUAAUCUCCCUCCAAGAAGAAGGCGGACAGGAAGGAAGCCGCGGCUACAUCCCAACAGGGACCGGGUUCAGUCGUCCGCUCUGAACUCUCCUGCAGGCUGGACCAGACACAAGAAAGAAAGAGGGGGAGGAGAGGGGUAUUGAAACAAAAUAUAAAAAUAUAAAUUAAAACUUCAAUAAAUAAAACAAAUAAACUAGAAAUUAAAAGAAUUCUAGUGAUAAUAAGAAUUAC